AUGAGCGUCCAUCCCGUAUCAGAUCCAAAAUUAAACAAUAUCUCAGUGGGGAAAUCUUCCAGAUAUCAUCAAGACAUUCACCUUUUAUCUUAAGCGUAAAUUUCUAGAAUUCACCUGAUGGAAUGAUAGAAAUGAAAACCCUUUUACAUUCUGAGGUGUGUGGAUCAAUUUGUUUAUUUUUUUUGCUCCCAAAUUGGUCGACAUCCAUUGCAUAUUGUGGUAUUGGAUGUCAAAAUAAGCAUCUUUCAAGUCAAUAAAUUUCCAGGAUUUGUAUUGCAUGGUCGUCCAAUUGAUCAGUGGCUCAUUGAAGGAACCAUUAUUUGCCGCUAUAAUUGUUCAGAAUCUACUGGCACACCUUGGUUAGAUUAAUAUACAGAGAGAUAUAAGCGGUUUUACUACCAUGAGUCUCCAACUUCUCUUGCCAUUUGUUGUCCUAACACCGCGUAUUUUUUAACAUGGCGCAUGUUAAAGGAUACGCCAUGAUCUGAGAUGAAGCUUCAUCCAAAACUUUCGUUGAGCAGAAAAAGGAACAUUGGCCCUUGACCAAUGCGUUGGCAAUGUUCAACCAACAUUUGGACAUUGGGUUGGCAGCGGUCAGCCAACAUGGAUAGACAUUGGAUUGGCAGCGGACAGCCAACAUGGCUGGACCUCGGGUCGGAAGUGGACAGCCAACGUGGGUGAACGUCGGGUCGGCAGUGGACAUUCAACAUGGAUGAACAUCGGGUCGGCAGUGGACAGCCAACAUGGUUGAACGUCGGGUCGGCAGUGGACAACCAACACAGCCAACGUGGCUGAACAUCGGGUUGGCAGUGGAUAGCCAACAUGGCUAAACAUCGAAGUUGGCAUUGGCAGUGGAGAGCCAUCUUGGCCGCUUAUUCAGAAAUAUAGGGCAACUGCCAUGAAUAGUAAAAUGGGGAGUUGAUGAAUGAUUUUUGGUCCCCCAAUUCAAGUUGCAAAAAUGUCAAGUUAACAUAUAUAGGGAGGGGUACUUGGUUGAAGGUGCAUAUACGGACCAUGCACCAAGUGAGAUAGCCUUAGAGAUGUACAACCAUCACGGCUAGACAUUGGAGUGGCCUAUGGGCCAAAGACGGAAGUACAACCAUCACGCCCUUCGCAUGACCUGGCUCGGGAAAUGUUCGGUCGUCAUGGCCGGAUAUUAGAACUGGCCUGUGAUCCAGAAUUGAAUGUACAUCCAUCACGAC
Molecule: long non-coding RNA, 1202 nt
Organism: Papaver somniferum (opium poppy)
Lineage: Eukaryota; Viridiplantae; Streptophyta; Magnoliopsida; Ranunculales; Papaveraceae
Exons: 3
Source: RefSeq, a predicted model, not a curated record